Molecule: ribosomal RNA, 274 nt
Filed under: uncultured bacterium
Lineage: Bacteria
Description: partial 16S ribosomal RNA
Rfam family: Bacterial small subunit ribosomal RNA
Source: RNAcentral
AUACGGAGGGUGCAAGCGUUAUUGGGAAUCACUGGGCGUAAAGGACGCGUAGGCGGGUUGGCAAGUCAGAUGUGAAAUCCUACAGCUUAACUGUAGAACUGCAUUUGAAACUGCUAACCUAGAGUAUGGGAGGGGGAGAUGGAAUUAGUGGUGUAGGGGUAAAAUCCGUAGAUAUCACUAGGAAUACCGAAAGCGAAGGCGAUCUCCUGGAACAUAACUGACGCUAAGGCGUGAAAGCGUGGGGAGCAAACAGGAUUAGAAACCCCUGUAGUCC